GGGUGGUCCGAAGGUAGUGCCUUAUCUCAAUUGAUUGUUCACAGUCAGUUACAGAUCAAACUCCUUGCUCUGCUCCUUCCCUCUUCUCACUACUGCACUUGACCAGUCUAAA
Non-coding RNA from Gorilla gorilla gorilla (western lowland gorilla), 112 nucleotides. It matches the Rfam family "Y RNA". Rfam says of the family: Y RNAs are components of the Ro ribonucleoprotein particle (Ro RNP), in association with Ro60 and La proteins. The Y RNAs and Ro60 and La proteins are well conserved, but the function of the Ro RNP is not known. The record is from Rfam. NCBI's taxonomy places the organism in Eukaryota, Metazoa, Chordata, Mammalia, Primates, Hominidae.